This is a non-coding RNA of Rhizoctonia solani AG-1 IB, 99 nucleotides long. The record is from Rfam. Lineage: Eukaryota; Fungi; Basidiomycota; Agaricomycetes; Cantharellales; Ceratobasidiaceae.
GGGCGCGUAGUGGAGUGGUUACCACGUUGGUCUUCGAUCGGAGUACACCGUACUUACGUAGCGAACCAAAGUUCGUCGGUUCGAUCCCGGCCGUGCUCA